RNAcentral lists this ribosomal RNA (699 nucleotides) under Streptomyces sp. ZA-495. RNAcentral describes it as "bacterial SSU rRNA". It matches the Rfam family "Bacterial small subunit ribosomal RNA", at positions 62 to 778 of the family's 1533-position model. Lineage: Bacteria; Bacillati; Actinomycetota; Actinomycetes; Kitasatosporales; Streptomycetaceae. The record is from RNAcentral.
UCGAACGGUGAAGCCUUUCGGGGUGGAUCAGUGGCGAACGGGUGAGUAACACGUGGGCAAUCUGCCCUGCACUCUGGGACAAGCCCUGGAAACGGGGUCUAAUACCGGAUAUGACCUGCUCUCGCAUGGGGGUGGGUGGAAAGCUUCGGCGGUGCAGGAUGAGCCCGCGGCCUAUCAGCUUGUUGGUGGGGUGAUGGCCUACCAAGGCGACGACGGGUAGCCGGCCUGAGAGGGCGACCGGCCACACUGGGACUGAGACACGGCCCAGACUCCUACGGGAGGCAGCAGUGGGGAAUAUUGCACAAUGGGCGGAAGCCUGAUGCAGCGACGCCGCGUGAGGGAUGACGGCCUUCGGGUUGUAAACCUCUUUCAGCAGGGAAGAAGCGCAAGUGACGGUACCUGCAGAAGAAGCACCGGCUAACUACGUGCCAGCAGCCGCGGUAAUACGUAGGGUGCGAGCGUUGUCCGGAAUUAUUGGGCGUAAAGAGCUCGUAGGCGGCUUGUCGCGUCGGAUGUGAAAGCCCGGGGCUUAACUCCGGGUCUGCAUUCGAUACGGGCAGGCUAGAGUUCGGUAGGGGAGAUCGGAAUUCCUGGUGUAGCGGUGAAAUGCGCAGAUAUCANGAGGAACACCGGUGGCGAAGGCGGAUCUCUGGGCCGAUACUGACGCUGAGGAGCGAAAGCGUGGGGAGCGAACAGGAU